CUCUGUGACUCCUACGGGAGGCAGCAGUGGGGAAUAUUGGCACAAUGGGCGCAAGCCUGAUGCAGCAACGCCGCGUGAGCGAUGAAGGCCCUUCGGGUCGUAAAGCUCUGUCCUCAAGGAAGAAUAAAUGACGGUACUUGAGGAGGAAGCCCCGGCUAACUACGUGCCAGCAGCCGCGGUAAUACGUAGGGGGCAAGCGUUAUCCGGAAUCACUGGGCGUAAAGGGUGCGUAGGCGGUUUUUCAAGUCAGAAGUGAAAGGCUAUGGCUCAACCAUAGUAAGCUUUUGAAACUGUUAAACUUGAGUGCAGGAGAGGAAAGUGGAAUUCCUAGUGUAGAGGUGAAAUUCGUAGAUAUUAGGAGGAACACCAGUGGCGAAGGCGACUUUCUGGACUGUAACUGACGCUGAGGCACGAAAGCGUGGGGAGCGAACAGGAUUAGAUACCCUGGUAG
This 451-nucleotide ribosomal RNA is filed under the name uncultured bacterium. Its description in RNAcentral is "bacterial SSU rRNA". It matches the Rfam family "Bacterial small subunit ribosomal RNA", at positions 328 to 793 of the family's 1533-position model. The record is from RNAcentral.